CUAAGGAUGGUUCUUCAGAAGCUUGCUUCUAUCGAACCGUUUUAGAAACAUCAGUGGCCAACGGUCGUCAGGAUCGUUGAGCUGCAUUGGCGGGAUUUCGCCGUCUUCGUUUCUCUUUCUUCGCGGACGAACACGCGCUGGGGCUGCAACCUUGCAGAAUCCCUGGUCCUUGACUGGAUAUGCGUUAGGGGCUUGUAGCUCAGUUGGUUAGAGCGCGCGCUUGAUAAGCGUGAGGUCGGAAGUUCAAGUCUUCCCAGGCCCACCACACUCAUCGAGUGAGCAUUCGUCUUCUGGUUACGGGGCCAUAGCUCAGCUGGGAGAGCGCGUGCUUUGCAAGCAUGAGGUCGUCGGUUCGAUCCCGUCUGGCUCCACCAGAUGGUUUGAUCACCGGCUACUCGUACCGUCGUCCGCGAAACAUCACUUCGCACUUACUAGUCCGGAUGGACAGUAAGCUGCGUGAUUUCUGACAUCGUAAAGAGGAGAUCGAUCCGAGUUGGAUCGGGCAACAAGUAAUUGUUGCGCGAUACUUCAUUAUCUCCGGAUCAUUUCGGCGCUCGUGCGUCUUCCAGGGUAGCUCACAAGGCUGCGUCUGAAGGACACGCGAGUUGUAAAUGAUCCUUUUAGCGAAGCUUGACCGCCUCGCUAUCGGAACGAUCUUACGAAGCAAGCUGGUCUUUCUAAUCAUUGUCCGGCUGCAGAUAGCGUUCAUCGAGGGCGCGUGCCUUAGAGACUUAGGUUUCUUGGCAAUUCUGCAGACAACAUUCUGCCGAGUGUGUGGACAUUGAUAAUGAGAGC
This 795-nucleotide transfer RNA is filed under the name Bradyrhizobium japonicum. Its description in RNAcentral is "16S-23S ribosomal RNA intergenic spacer". The stretch from base 189 to 262 matches the Rfam family "tRNA". The record is from RNAcentral. Lineage: Bacteria; Pseudomonadati; Pseudomonadota; Alphaproteobacteria; Hyphomicrobiales; Nitrobacteraceae.